CGGGUGAGUAACGCGUGGGUAACCUGCCUCAUACAGGGGGAUAACGGUUAGAAAUGACUGCUAAUACCGCAUAAGCGCACAGUACCGCAUGGUACCGUGUGAAAAACUCCGGUGGUAUGAGAUGGACCCGCGUCUGAUUAGCUAGUUGGUGAGGUAACGGCCCACCAAGGCGACGAUCAGUAGCCGACCUGAGAGGGUGACCGGCCACAUUGGGACUGAGACACGGCCCAG
RNAcentral lists this ribosomal RNA (231 nucleotides) under uncultured bacterium. RNAcentral describes it as "partial 16S ribosomal RNA". It matches the Rfam family "Bacterial small subunit ribosomal RNA", at positions 103 to 334 of the family's 1533-position model. The record is from RNAcentral.